RNAcentral lists this ribosomal RNA (253 nucleotides) under uncultured bacterium. RNAcentral's name for it is "partial 16S ribosomal RNA". It matches the Rfam family "Bacterial small subunit ribosomal RNA", at positions 524 to 776 of the family's 1533-position model. The record is from RNAcentral.
UACAGAGGGGGCGAGCGUUAUUCGGAAUUAUUGGGCGUAAAGGGCGCGUAGGCGGCUUGACAAGUCCAAGGUGAAAUCCCUCGGCUCAACCGAGGAACUGCCUUGGAAACUGUCUGGCUUGAGGCCGGGAGAGGGUAGUGGAAUUCCCAGUGUAGCGGUGAAAUGCGUAGAUAUUGGGAGGAACACCGGUGGCGAAGGCGGCUACCUGGACCGGAUCUGACGCUGAUGCGCGAAAGCGUGGGGAGCAAACAGG